This is a long non-coding RNA of Cervus elaphus (red deer), 2997 nucleotides long. RefSeq lists it as uncharacterized. The transcript is spliced from 4 exons. The record is from RefSeq and is a predicted model, not a curated record. NCBI's taxonomy places the organism in Eukaryota, Metazoa, Chordata, Mammalia, Artiodactyla, Cervidae.
ACCGACUCGAUGGACAUGAGUUUGAGUAAGCUCCGGGAGUUGGUGAUGGACAGGGAGGCCUGGCAUGCUGCAGUCCAUGGGGUCGCAAAGAGUCAGACACCACUGAGCAACUGAACUGAAGGACCAGUAACGCAGAGACUGAGGCAGAGGCUGCCUGAAGAGGUAUCUGCUUCUCUCCCCGCCAUCAGAGCCAGUCAUUUGGCGAGCACGCUCAUGCCCUAGUAAGCAUGAUACAGUGGAUGGGGUGGAAUUAAGGGGCCUUCGAUAGUGAAGGACAAGGAGGCCUGGCAUGCUGCAGUUCAUGGAGUUGCAGAGUCGGACAUGACUUAGCGACUAAAUAACAGUUCCACUCCUAAGAUCACGGUUGGGGUCUGUUCUCUUCUAUCCAAUUUGAUAAGGAAGGAAGGAAGAUCUUUUACCUUUUACCAAUACCUGGGAACCUUUUUAUUUCUCUAAAGCCACAGGAUAAGUAUCACCAGACUGCUGGAUUUUCUAUUCUUCAAGACUGGCCCUGUCCUCUAGGGCUUCUGUCUUAGCACUGGGCAUUGCCUUCUCUUCCUGCUACAAUUGCUGCUUGGCCUAUUAGCCUCAGGAAACUUAUUCUCUUGGAUCCAUUCUCUUUAAGAGUCGCCACAUUUUAUCCACCUGCCUGCUCUCGUUUUUGAUCCACCUAUUGUCAUCAUUUAGAACCGCUGGUCUAAGUGACCCACAGGCACAAUCCAGGCUCUUGAGAUGGGUGUCUCCAGGGUCUGAAAUUGACAGUAUUUGUCUUAACCCUUAAAGUAAUCUUGCUGUAGCCAAAAACCUUAGCCAGCAAACACCUCAGCAGAUGCGAUGCACUGCCUUCCACCCCACCCCACCGCCCUGGUGACGCAGGAGAACCACCCUGGAGCCACGGGGCGCAGUGUCUAGAGGGCAGCAGAGCUCCAGUGGGUACCGCCAUCCCCUGGCUGCCAAGCCCCUUGUCACGUAACAGGUUCAGAGGCUUGGAGGUUAGGGUGGGGAGGUUCUGUCCUCCAACCUCACCGUGGCACUGCCUGUAAACCUGCCGAGCCAGGGCCCGAGAGGGCUGCCUGCACGGCCCACGUCAUCCGGGGGUCUGUGAUGCCCUGAUGUCCCGGGCCUGCGGGGGCUGCAUAAGUACGGCUGCGAGCUGCCCACUACAUGGUCUCUGCUGCCCCAGCACAAGGCGACCCUCUCAGGCUCCAUGCGUGGCAUUCAGUACAGGUGUAGGCAUGAGAGAUGGCGCCCUUCUCUAUGGGGACAGGUAGGGAAGAGAUUUCCCAGCUGAGUCUUCCUGGGUCUCUGUUCCAAUGAAAAAGAGACACCCUCCCCUCCCCGACUCUGCGCACCUGAUUCCGCCUCCGUCCAUUUCCCAGCCGCAGCUCAACUCUUUACCCUCGUGGCAUUCUGUAAGCUGGAGUGGUAAGGCCCGAACCUCCAGAAGGGAGAUGAAAUGACCUUGUGGGGUGACAGGAAACAGCAUAGCCAGCAUUGGUUUUGGGGUGUUGAUUUCCACGUGUUAAGGUUUGAGUUGCUACUGAGCUCCCUCGCCCGUGUGUGUGACAGUCGGGCUCUGUAUCCACCGCGAUGCCCGAGCAGGGACGCGGCGUGGGGCGAGAGCUUUGCUGCUGUGCUCUGGCACCUGAGCACGUUUCCGUCUCCAGCAUGGAGCUGCCAGUGGGAAAUUGCUGAAGUGGCACUCCGGAGGAUCCACCAGGGAGACCCCUCCAUCUCCUGCCAAGCUAAACAAACCCUGCCUUGCCCUGUUCUGAAUCACACCUCCCUGCAGAUUCAUUCCUCCUUCCCCAGCGCGGCUCGGGCACCGCCUUCCGGGAAAGUCCUGGGUGUCCGCAAGAGAGGCGUUGGAGGAGAAUGGAACUGAUGGAGGAAGGGGGAGUGCCGCUCAGUCAUCUUUUAAGUAGAAAGGAAAAGGUCAACGGAGCCGCACGGGGCCACGGCCACAUCAGUGUUGACUCUGCCUCGCUGCGGCAAAGGGGCCGGCUUACCGGGGCGAGCGGUGGGCACUGCCAGCUCGCGGUGGGCACCACCCAGCUGCUGACAGCCAAACACAAAGAAACGCAUGCUCUAUACACACAGAUGGGUCUGAGUGUCAGCAGGAGCCCGUUUUUAGCCCUUGCCCAGGAAGGGCAGCCCACAACACAGUAAUUUAAUUAAAUUUGCUUCUCUCCAUGGCCCACAUAUUUGAAGAGGUUUGGGGGGAAAUGAAUCCGGCUGAGGAACAUCACCCUGCCGCUCUGGCACUGCCCCAGAGCUGAGCCGCAGCACCAUAAAGGGUCUCGCCAUCCUGGUUACGGCCCAGGGCAUCUGUCUGCACUGCAGGCUCUCUGGCCAGGCUGCCUGCUGGAAGCAAUCCGUCUCCAUCACAGGGAAGCCACCAGGGGCAAAAUAAGGGGACUCCCCGCCCCCGACUCAAGACCUGCUGGCAGCAGCCUCGGCAGUACCUAGAGCCGUUUGUGGCAUUUGCUUUCCCCACCAGCCUCAGAGUACGAGAAGAGAGAGGGCAAGACAAGAGGACCCCCACCCGCAGCGACACUGCGGCCUCAGUCGUCACCCGUUUCAGUGUUAGCCCACAUGCCUGGGCUUCUGCCCCGAACGUGAUCGGUUUUUAAGGACCUGAAAUGGACUCAGCUUUUUCGUAUUACCCUGCUGUCUACCUCAGGUGCUGUCAGUUUUUGUUCAUUAUGCCUGAGCUUAACUCACACCCAGACCCCCAUGACCUCCCACUGCCUCCCAGACAGCCUUGCAUUAAGUUUAUCAACUCCUCGGGGCUUCCCUGGUGGCUCAGAUGUAAAGAAUCUGCCUGCAGUGCAGGAGAUCUUCCCCUGGGUCGGAACGAUCCCCUGGGCGAAGAGAAUGGCUACCCAUUCCAGUAUUCUUGCAUGGAGAAUUCCAUGGACAGAGGAGCCUAGAGGGCUGCAGUCCACGGGGUCACAAAGAGUCAGACAGGACUGAGCAACAAACACGCUUCAUUUU